Long non-coding RNA from Panthera uncia (snow leopard), 405 nucleotides. RefSeq lists it as uncharacterized. The transcript is spliced from 3 exons. NCBI's taxonomy places the organism in Eukaryota, Metazoa, Chordata, Mammalia, Carnivora, Felidae. The record is from RefSeq and is a predicted model, not a curated record.
UAAAAAUUUCCCAUCUCUCAGAGCCCAGGGAGAAAGCAGCAGAGAAGCUGUCAAGUGGAACCAAGAGGCAAGAAGACCGCAAGGCAGGGUGCGCUGCAGCCAAGUUCACCCUUCACUGCGAGCCCUAUAGGGAGAAAGUCACUGUAAGCUACAGUUAAAGCUGUAACAGCUACACCUUGGGGAAUGGCCAGAAGAAACAAGGUCCAGUACUUCAAAAGAAGUUACCCCUUCUAGCUUCAGGUCCAGUCUGACAUGUUUAAGGAGCUGGUGGAAAUAGGAAUGACAGCCGCUUCCCAUCCCAAGUGCCCAAGACUGAUUAUGAUUCAAAUACAUUUUUUUGGAAGUUCUCCCUUCACAAUUUUUUUCCUGUGAACUGGCAAGUGUGGAGAAGGUGCGGAUGUUGGC